This 505-nucleotide ribosomal RNA is filed under the name uncultured marine eukaryote. Its description in RNAcentral is "SSU rRNA". It matches the Rfam family "Eukaryotic small subunit ribosomal RNA", at positions 613 to 1126 of the family's 1831-position model. The record is from RNAcentral.
UUGCAGUUAAAAAGCUCGUAGUUGGAUUUCGGUUAAGAGCGACCGGUCCGCCGUUUGGUGUGCACUGGUUGGUUUUAACUUCCUGUAGAGGAUGUGCUCUGGGCUUAACGGUCUGGACUCGGAGUCUACGUGGUUACUUUGAAAAAAUUAGAGUGUUCAAAGCGGGCUUACGCUUGAAUAUUUCAGCAUGGAAUAACACUAUAGGACUCCUGUCCUAUUUCGUUGGUCUCGGGACGGGAGUAAUGAUUAAGAGGAACAGUUGGGGGCAUUCGUAUUUCAUUGUCAGAGGUGAAAUUCUUGGAUUUAUGAAAGACGAACUUCUGCGAAAGCAUUUGCCAAGGAUGUUUUCAUUAAUCAAGAACGAAAGUUGGGGGCUCGAAGAUGAUUAGAUACCAUCCUAGUCUCAACCAUAAACGAUGCCGACUAAAGGAUUGGCGGAUGUUAAAUUGAUGACUCCGCCAGCACCUUAUGAGAAAUCAAAGUUUUUGGGUUCCGGGGGGAAUAU